Molecule: ribosomal RNA, 253 nt
Filed under: uncultured bacterium
Lineage: Bacteria
Description: partial 16S ribosomal RNA
Rfam family: Bacterial small subunit ribosomal RNA
Source: RNAcentral
UACGGAGGGGGCUAGCGUUGUUCGGAAUUACUGGGCGUAAAGCGCGCGUAGGCGGACCUGCAAGUCGGGGGUGAAAGCCCGAGGCUCAACCUCGGAACUGCCUUCGAUACUGCGGGUCUCGAGUCCGGGAGAGGUGAGUGGAAUUCCUAGUGUAGAGGUGAAAUUCGUAGAUAUUCGGAAGAACACCAGUGGCGAAGGCGACUUACUGGAUCAUGACUGACGCUGAGGCUCGAAAGCGUGGGGAGCAAACAGG